This 506-nucleotide ribosomal RNA is filed under the name uncultured bacterium. Its description in RNAcentral is "partial 16S ribosomal RNA". It matches the Rfam family "Bacterial small subunit ribosomal RNA", at positions 899 to 1397 of the family's 1533-position model. The record is from RNAcentral.
ACUCAAAUGAAUUGACGGGGGUCCGCACAAGCGGUGGAACAUGUGGUUUAAUUCGUCACUACGCGAGGAACCUUACCUAGGCUUGACAUGUUUUCGAUAGGUGCAGAAACGCACUCUUCUAGGCUUCGGUCUAGACGGAUUCACAGGUGCUGCAUGGCUGUCGUCAGCUCGUGUCGUGAGAUGUUGGGUUAAGUCCUCUAACGAGCGCAACCCCUGCUAUCAGUUGCCACUACUUAGCUGUAAGCACUCUGAUAGGACUGCCUGGGAAACCAGGAGGAAGGUGGGGAUGACGUCAAGUCAUCAUGGUCCUUAUGCCUAGGGCUACACACGUGUUACAAUGGUCGGUACAAAGGGCUGCAAGCCUGCGAAGGUGAGCUAAUCCCAUAAAGCCGAUCUAAGUUCGGAUUGAGGUCUGCAACUCGACCUCAUGAAGUUGAAAUCGCUAGUAAUCGCAUAUCAGCUACGAUGCGGUGAAUACGUUCUCGGACCUUGUACACACCGCCCGU